This 465-nucleotide ribosomal RNA is filed under the name uncultured bacterium. RNAcentral's name for it is "bacterial SSU rRNA". It matches the Rfam family "Bacterial small subunit ribosomal RNA", at positions 338 to 795 of the family's 1533-position model. The record is from RNAcentral.
CCUACGGGGUGCACCAGUGGGGAAUAUUGCACAAUGGGCGCAAGCCCGAUGCAGCCAUGCCGCGUGUAUGAAGAAGGCCUUCGGGUUGUAAAGUACUUUCAGCGGGGAGGAAGGUGUUGUGGUUUAUAACCGCAGCAAUUGACGUUACCCGCAGAAGAAGCACCGGCUAACUCCGUGCCAGCAGCCGCGGUAAUACGGAGGGUGCAAGCGUUAAUCGGAAUUACUGGGCGUAAAGCGCACGCAGGCGGUCUGUCAAGUCGGGUGCGAAAUCCCCGGGCUCAACCUGGGAACUGCAUUCGAAACUGGCAGGCUAGAGUCUUGUAGAGGGGGGUAGAAUUCCAGGUGUAGCGGUGAAAUGCGUAGAGAUCUGGAGGAAAACCGGUGGCGAAGGCGGCCCCCUGGACAAAGACUGACGCUCAGGUGCGAAAGCGUGGGGAGCAAACAGGAUUAGAUACCCCGGUAGUC